This 2043-nucleotide ribosomal RNA is filed under the name Triticum aestivum (bread wheat). RNAcentral describes it as "partial small subunit ribosomal RNA". Lineage: Eukaryota; Viridiplantae; Streptophyta; Magnoliopsida; Poales; Poaceae. The record is from RNAcentral.
AUGGCGAGCGCGGCGACGUUGAAGAAGGCGGCGAACCGGCUGGUGGUGGAGGAGGCCGCCACCAACGACGAUAACUCCGUGUGCACCCUCCACCCUCACACCAUGGAGAAGCUCUCCAUAUUCAAAGGCGACAUCGUGCUGCUCAAGGGCAAGCGCCGCCACAACACGGUCUGCAUGGCACUGCCCGACGACACCUGCGAGGAGCACAAGCUGAGGAUCAACAAGGUGGCCCGCUCCAACCUGCGCGUGCGCAUCGCCGAUGUCGUGUCCGUGCACCUGUGCCACGAUGCCGAAUUCGGCAGACGCGUGCACAUCCUUCCCUUGGAUGACACCGUCGAGGGCAUCGCGGGGAACCUCUUCGACGUCUACCUCAAGCCCUACUUCGUGGACGCCUACCGCCCGCUCCACAAGGGCGAUCUCUUCCUGGUGCGUGGCGGCAUGCGGAGCGUCGAGUUCAAGGUCAUGGAGAUCGACCCCGCGGUGGAGUACUGCAUCGUGGCGCCCGACACGGAGAUCUUCUGCGAGGGCGAGCCGGUAAAGCGGGAGGACGAGGAGAGGCUUGACGACAUCGGCUACGACGACGUGGGUGGCAUGGGAAAACCGCUGACUCUGAUGAGGGAGCUUGUCGAGCUGCCACUCAGGCAUCCGCAGAUCUUCAAGAGCAUUGGCGUGAAGCCGCCUAAGGGCAUCCUCCUGUAUGGCCCUCCCGUGUCCGGCAAGACGCUGAUCGCCCGCGCGGUCGCCAACAAGACCGGGGCCUUCUUCUUCCUCAUCAACGGCCCAGAGAUAAUGUCCAAGAUGGCCGGAGAGAGCGAGAGCAACCUGAGGAAGGCCUUCGAGGAGGCCGAGAAGAACACGCCCUCCAUCAUCUUCAUUGACGAGAUCGACUCCAUUGCUCCGAACAGGGAGAAGACUCACGGCGAGGUCGAGAGGCGCAUCGUCUCCCAGCUGCUGACUCUAAUGGACGGCACGAAGGCCCGCGCGCACGUCAUCGUAAUGGGCGCCACGAACCAUCCCAACAGCAUCGACCCUGCCUUGAGGCGCUUCGGGAGGUUCGAUCGCGAGAUCGACAUCGGCGUGCCAGACGAGGUCGGGCGUCUCGAAGUGCUCCGCAUCCACACCAAAAACAUGAAGCUGGACGAGGACGUCAACCUUGAGGUGGUUGCCAAGGAUACGCACGGCUACGUCGGCGCCGACUUGGCCGCGCUCUGCACCGAGGCGGCGCUGCAGUGCAUCAGGGAGAAGAUGGACGUCAUCGACUUAGAGGACGACACCAUCGACGCCGAGAUCUUGAACUCCAUGGCCGUCACCAAUGACCACCUUAAGACGGCUCUCGUCGGCACGAACCCGUCUGCGCUACGUGAGACCGUCGCGGAGGUGCCGAAUGUCAGCUGGACCGAUAUCGGCGGCCUCGACGGCGUCAAGAGGGAGCUGCAAGAAACCGUCCAGUACCCGGUCGAGCACCCGGAGAAAUUCGAGAAGUUCGGCAUGUCGCCGUCCAAGGGCGUCCUGUUCUACGGGCCACCAGGCUGCGGCAAGACCUUGCUGGCGAAGGCUAUCGCCAACGAGUGCCAGGCCAACUUCAUCAGCAUCAAGGGGCCAGAGCUGCUCACUAUGUGGUUCGGCGAGAGCGAGGCCAACGUGCGCGAGAUCUUCGACAAGGCACGUCAGUCUGCGCCGUGCGUGCUGUUUUUCGAUGAGCUCGACUCCAUUGCUACCCAAAGGGGUGGCAGAGUGGGCGAUGCCGGCAGCGCGGCGGACAGGGUCCUGAACCAGCUGCUCACCGAGAUGGACGGCAUGAACGCCAAGAAGACGGUCUUCAUCAUCGGCGCCACCAAUAGUCCUGACAUUAUUGACUCUGCCUUGCUCCGUCCCGGCCGCCUGGACCAGCUCAUCUACAUCCCCUUGCCGGACGAGGCCUCGCGGCACCAGAUCUUCAAGGCCUGCCUCAGGAAGUCUCCAGUGGCCAAGGACGUCGACCUCGGAGCGCUCGCAAGGUUCACCUCCGGCUUCAGCGGCGCCGACAUCACAGAGAUCUGCUAG